CCAGCAGCUGCGUUAAUUCCAGCUCCAAUAGCGUAUAUUAAAGUUGUUGCAGUUAAAAAGCUCGUAGUUGGAUUUCUGGUAGGGUGCCAAUGUCCGCCGCCGUGCGUGCGCAGCGGCGCCCUUCCAUCCUUGUGUCAACGCCUCUUGGCAUUCGUUUGCUGGUGGCGGGCUCACAUAUUUUACCUUGAGAAAAUUAGAGUGUUUCAGGCAGGCUAGGCCGGAAUACAUUAGCAUGGAAUAAUGGAAUAGGACUACGGUCUCUUUGUUGGUUGAGGGGCUGCAGUAAUGAUUAAUAGGGAUAGUUGGGGGCAUUAG
RNAcentral lists this ribosomal RNA (315 nucleotides) under uncultured eukaryote. Its description in RNAcentral is "SSU rRNA". It matches the Rfam family "Eukaryotic small subunit ribosomal RNA", at positions 567 to 894 of the family's 1831-position model. The record is from RNAcentral.